CCUACGGGUGGCUGCAGUGGGGAAUAUUGGACAAUGGGGGGAACCCUGAUCCAGCCAUGCCGCGUGUGUGAAGAAGGCCCUCGGGUUGUAAAGCACUUUCAGUGAGGAAGAACGCCUGGUGGUUAAUACCCAUCAGGAAAGACAUCACUCACAGAAGAAGCACCGGCUAACUCCGUGCCAGCAGCCGCGGUAAUACGGAGGGUGCGAGCGUUAAUCGGAAUUACUGGGCGUAAAGCGCGCGUAGGUGGCUUGAUAAGCCGGUUGUGAAAGCCCCGGGCUCAACCUGGGAACGGCAUCCGGAACUGUCAAGCUAGAGUGCAGGAGAGGAAGGUAGAAUUCCCGGUGUAGCGGUGAAAUGCGUAGAGAUCGGGAGGAAUACCAGUGGCGAAGGCGGCCUUCUGGACUGACACUGACACUGAGGUGCGAAAGCGUGGGUAGCAAACAGGAUUAGUACCCCGGUAGUC
Molecule: ribosomal RNA, 464 nt
Filed under: Vreelandella stevensii
Lineage: Bacteria; Pseudomonadati; Pseudomonadota; Gammaproteobacteria; Oceanospirillales; Halomonadaceae
Description: partial 16S ribosomal RNA
Rfam family: Bacterial small subunit ribosomal RNA
Source: RNAcentral